This is a non-coding RNA of Pelobates cultripes (western spadefoot toad), 233 nucleotides long. The record is from the annotation of a GenBank genome assembly. Lineage: Eukaryota; Metazoa; Chordata; Amphibia; Anura; Pelobatidae.
GCACCAUUUACUUUAUCCUUUUCCAUUACUUUUGUUCUAAUAAAGUUUACAUUACAUUAUUAUAACUUCUGUACCUUCCUGAUUUCCCUGACAGUAGAAUUUCACUUUUCCCUAGUGGGAAACAUACCACCCAAGCCUUUAAACUGAGCAAACCUUUGUUUGCGCUUAAAAAAAAGUGAGUACAUCUUGUUAUUUUAUGCCUUUUAACCAGUGUGCACAAUAUUUUAUUUUCU